Molecule: long non-coding RNA, 654 nt
Organism: Aedes aegypti (yellow fever mosquito)
Lineage: Eukaryota; Metazoa; Arthropoda; Insecta; Diptera; Culicidae
Exons: 3
Source: RefSeq, a predicted model, not a curated record
AUAAUACGAGAAAACAAAAAUAUUUUUUUUUUCGAUGAUUGUGAGUAAGUUUUUGAUCACUGAGUAUAUUAUUUUUUAGCGUGCAUUUUUCUGUGCCUCUUUCGAGACCGUGAAAAAAACAACAACCAGAACCUCGGUCGCGAAAAGUUUGUUUCGUUUUUUCCUUCAAGGAUGCAGAAAAACAGCGAUGGGACAUUGUGCGGCCUACGGCUUGAGGAAACAGUACAACGAACCGUUUAACAAAAGGAGAAUUGAAGACCCGGCUACCACAAGAAAAAUACGCAUCAAAAACGAUUUUAAACCACGUCCGUAGAAACAUCUUCCUGUUACACCGACGGACAGCAGCAUCACCAGAACACCAUCUAAGAUAUAAUCCCGAUCCUUGCCUAAUCAUUCCGGGAGGGCCAGUAGACGAUCGACGAUUUUUUGUAAUUUUCGAGCUUCUGAAUGCUCAACGGGAACGAGCAGGACGGAUAAUGAAAAUUCUAAUUUAAGCUCAAGUUUUGUGUUUGUAAAUAAUAUAACAUAAUGAAAUACAGAAAAAAAGGUUAAACUUGUUGUUGAAAUUAUUUCUUAUCCAAUUUGUUCGAAAAUCAUUCUUAUAAUAUAAACAUUUAAGUACAGUACCGCAUACGGUUCAAAUACCGUAACAAA